GGUAAAGAGCUAUGGCGUGUAUCUCCGUAAAAAGAAAGUGCGCUAUGGUUUCGUGUGCCCACCCGAGGAUUGGGCGGCGACUCAUGUGGUUGUGGGUGAAAUGAACCUUCAACACACCUAUUACUACUGGGUGCGAGAGCAGGAGGACCCAGAUGAUGUGCAAUAAGACAAGGCCCCCGCCCCUGGGGGGCGCAGCCGUGAAAAAAUUUUUGCAAUAAGCGACAGCUUGACAGGACUAUCAGGGCCACCAUCCGUUGAGGAAGGCCUUGACGUGUUAAAUACAUCCGGAAGAAUAAGCAGGGGGAAACUGGGGUGUCCCCCGCCGGGUUAAUACGAGGUCUGAGAGGGGUUUGGAUGUUUUUUGUGCAAAAAGUAUGUAUACGGGGCCGGCUUUCUUCCGGGAAAUAUCCAAGCUCUUAUUUUUGGGAUUGGGGGGGAUAUUACUGGGUUGGGGGACGAAAGAGGCAGAGGGUAUUUCCGGGGUAGGGGUGAAUUCUUUUAAUCCCGGGAGGCCCCCCAGUGGCGAUGUCUGUUACCAAAAAGGCUCCGGACGCUGAGGGAUGAAAGUGGGGGGAGCGAACGGGUUUAGAUACCCGGGUAGUCCCAGCGUUAAACAAUGCAGACUAGGUGUUUGCAUGGCCACGCCCUGUUCUAGUGCCGCAGGGAAGCGGUUAAGUCUCCCCCUUGGGGAGUACGAUCCCAAGAUUGAAAUUAAAAGGAAUGGGGGGGGGACCACCCCAAGGGGUGAACCUUGCGGUUUAAUUGGAUUAAACCCGGAAAUCACUAGUGAAU
This 792-nucleotide ribosomal RNA is filed under the name uncultured methanogenic archaeon. RNAcentral's name for it is "partial 16S ribosomal RNA". It matches the Rfam family "Archaeal small subunit ribosomal RNA", at positions 145 to 938 of the family's 1478-position model. The record is from RNAcentral. Lineage: Archaea; Methanobacteriati; Methanobacteriota.